GCUCCGAUUGGUCCGUUCCACUCCGGCCCAGCACCUGCUCUGGGCACAGCGCCUGCCCACUGGGGUCGCGCCGGCGAGUCUGGUCAGGUGGGCCGGGUCCCUCCCGCCCCCUGCCACGCGCACGACAGCCUAGGCUUUGGCCAACAGCAGCCCCUGCAACGGGCUGUUCCAUCGCAGAUGAGACCCCAUCGCAGAUGUAGGGAGGACAGCCGCCUUCCGUGGGGACAGCCUGCAGUGAGGGCCGCGACAGCACUGCUGGCCUGAUAAGUACCCAGUAUCAGCUGGGCCAGAAGCAAACAGUGACACAUGUGCCCCAACAGCCCCGAAGAGGCCGCUUCUGACCCCGCCCGCGCCCCAGGUGCCCAGGACACAGGGACCCAGCAGAGGGAUUCGCAG
Rhinolophus ferrumequinum (greater horseshoe bat) is the source of this 396-nucleotide long non-coding RNA. RefSeq lists it as uncharacterized. The transcript is spliced from 3 exons. NCBI's taxonomy places the organism in Eukaryota, Metazoa, Chordata, Mammalia, Chiroptera, Rhinolophidae. The record is from RefSeq and is a predicted model, not a curated record.